GCUAGCAUAAGUCAAAUAAGAAAAAUGCAGCAAAACAGAAAAAACCAGCAAAACAUGAGUAGAAUAAAAGGGAUGAAAUAUAACAUACCAAUAGUGUACUACUAAAUAUAACCCAAAACCUAAGCACCAAACCACAAAACAGGCAACAAUAACUAAAGACUACGGUAACAAGAAAGUAAAACACCACAAAAGAGUUUGUCAGUUUGAAGUAGCUGGAUAAAUCACACCCCAAAACCUAAAAGCACUAGACCACAAAACAAGCAACAAUAACUAAACACUACAGUAACAAGAAAGCAAGAGACCAUAGGAUGACACAAAGUUGAAACCACAAUCAAGUUAUCAAUUAUUAACUAAACACUUAGUUAUUUUUUAAAAAAUAAUUAAAAAUUUGAUUUUAUAUAACACUUA
RNAcentral lists this long non-coding RNA (408 nucleotides) under Medicago truncatula (barrel medic). Its description in RNAcentral is "long non-coding RNA (MTRU_LNC003570)". Lineage: Eukaryota; Viridiplantae; Streptophyta; Magnoliopsida; Fabales; Fabaceae. The record is from RNAcentral.